This 191-nucleotide ribosomal RNA is filed under the name Hemiodus sp. LEEM54. RNAcentral describes it as "partial small subunit ribosomal RNA". Lineage: Eukaryota; Metazoa; Chordata; Actinopteri; Characiformes; Hemiodontidae. The record is from RNAcentral.
AAACUCGUGCCAGCCACCGCGGUUAUACGAGAGACCCUAGUUGAUAGCCACGGCGUAAAGAGUGGUUAGGGACGCCUAACAAAUAAAGCCAAAGACCUCCCAAGCUGUUACACGCAUCUCGGAGGCGCGAAGCCCCGCUACGAAAGUGACUUUAAUUUUUUCCCGACGCCACGAAAGCUAAGAAACAAACU